CAGUAGCCGCGGUAAUACGAAGGGUGCAAGCGUUACUCGGAAUUACUGGGCGUAAAGCGUGCGUAGGUGGUGGUUUAAGUCCGUUGUGAAAGCCCUGGGCUCAACCUGGGAACUGCAUUAGUGACUGCAUCGCUGGAGUGCGGCAGAGGGGGAUGGAAUUCCGCGUGUAGCAGUGAAAUGCGUAGAUAUGCAGAGGAACACCGAUGGCGAAGGCAGCCCCCUGGGCCAAUACUGGCGCUCAUGCACGAAAGCGUGGGGAGCAAACAGGAUUAGAGACCCCAGUAGUCCCUGUCUCUUAUAC
RNAcentral lists this ribosomal RNA (301 nucleotides) under uncultured bacterium. RNAcentral describes it as "partial 16S ribosomal RNA". It matches the Rfam family "Bacterial small subunit ribosomal RNA", at positions 509 to 807 of the family's 1533-position model. The record is from RNAcentral.